This is a long non-coding RNA of Hibiscus syriacus, 309 nucleotides long. RefSeq lists it as uncharacterized. The transcript has 2 exons. NCBI's taxonomy places the organism in Eukaryota, Viridiplantae, Streptophyta, Magnoliopsida, Malvales, Malvaceae. The record is from RefSeq and is a predicted model, not a curated record.
CUUUUGUAUUUCGACUUUCCUUGGGUUCUGUUUUUGUUUGGCGAGAUAAGGCUUCUUUGAUUUGCAACGAUGAUGGAGCUGUUCGUGCUGGGGUGUACCGGAGUUGUGGUGUUCCUUCACGGAGCCAACUUCUUCUUCCAUGUUCUUUCCCAGCACCUCGCUGUUCGUUCUCUCAGUUUCUUGGGAUUUGUUGGGUGGUAGAACAAAGGGAGAAACCAGAGGUUGAGAGAGGAUUCAUUUCUCUGCGUGCAAGUUUUGAAUGUGGAUCAUGCUUUGUAAAUAUUUGAUUAUAACUUGGAUUUUGUAGCA